AUGCUCACUUUGGCAGCAUAUAAUACUAAAAUUGGAACAAUACAGAGAAGAUUAGCAAGGCCUCUGUGUAAGAAAGUUUAAUAAAAAUUUAGAAAAGAAAGAAAAUAAU
This 109-nucleotide small nuclear RNA is filed under the name Carlito syrichta (Philippine tarsier). The record is from RNAcentral. Lineage: Eukaryota; Metazoa; Chordata; Mammalia; Primates; Tarsiidae.